AUUGAACGCUGGCGGCAGGCCUAACACAUGCAAGUCGAGCGGAUGAAGGGAGCUUGCUCCUGGAUUCAGCGGCGGACGGGUGAGUAAUGCUUAGGAAUCUGCCUGGUAGUGGGGGAUAACGUCCGGAAACGGGCGCUAAUACCGCAUACGUCCUGAGGGAGAAAGUGGGGGAUCUUCGGACCUCACGCUAUCAGAUGAGCCUAGGUCGGAUUAGCUAGUUGGUGGGGUAAAGGCCUGCCAAGGCGACGAUCCGUAACUGGUCUGAGAGGAUGAUCAGUCACACUGGAACUGAGACACGGUCCAGACUCCUACGGGAGGCAGCAGUGGGGAAUAUUGGACAAUGGGCGAAAGCCUGAUCCAGCCAUGCCGCGUGUGUGAAGAAGGUCUUCGGAUUGUAAAGCACUUUAAGUUGGGAGGAAGGGCAGUAAGUUAAUACCUUGCUGUUUUGACGUUACCAACAGAAUAAGCACCGGCUAACUUCGUG
Molecule: ribosomal RNA, 484 nt
Filed under: uncultured bacterium
Lineage: Bacteria
Description: partial 16S ribosomal RNA
Rfam family: Bacterial small subunit ribosomal RNA
Source: RNAcentral